CCGACUGCUAUUUGGGUGAGAAUAAGCCAUGCGAGUUGAAUGGGAUACCUAAAGUUCCCAUAGCAAACUGCUCAGUAACACAUGAUCAACUUACCCUAUAGAGAAAAAUAACCUCGGGAAACUGAGGAUAAUGUUUCAUAAUUGAAUUGGCUUGGAAAAGUUUUUCAAUGAAAAGGAUAAAAAAAAUGGUUUUUAUCCGCUAUAGGAUAGGAUCGUGUUCGAUUAUGGUUGUUGGUGAGAUAAUGGCUCACCAAGCCGAUAAUCGAUAGGGGCCGUGAGAGCGGGAGCCCCGAGAUGGGUACUGAGACAACGACCCAGGCCUUACGAGGCGCAGCAGGCGCGAAACCUCCGCAAUGCACGAAAGUGUGACGGGGUUACCCAAAGUGUUCAAUUUGAACUGUGGUAGGUGAGUAAUGUCCCCUACUAGAAAGGAGAGGGCAAGGCUGGUGCCAGCCGCCGCGGUAAAACCAGCUCUUCAAGUGGUCGGGAUAAUUAUUGGGCUUAAAGUGUCCGUAGCCGGUUUAGUAAGUUCCUGGUAAAAUCGGGUAGCUUAACUAUCUGCAUGCUAGGAAUACUGCUAUACUAGAGGGCGGGAGAGGUCUGAGGUACUACAGGGGUAGGGGUGAAAUCUUAUAAUCCUUGUAGGACCACCAGUGGCGAAGGCGUCAGACUGGAACGCGCCUGACGGUGAGGGACGAAAGCCAGGGGAGCGAACCGGAUUAGAUACCCGGGUAGUCCAGGCCGUAAACGAUGCAUACUAGGUGAUGGUACGGCCAUGAGCCGUAUCAGUGCCGUAGGGAAACCGUUAAGUGUGCCGCCUGGGAAGUACGGUCGCAAGGCUAAACUUAAAGGAAUUGGCGGGGG
RNAcentral lists this ribosomal RNA (864 nucleotides) under uncultured archaeon. RNAcentral's name for it is "bacterial SSU rRNA". It matches the Rfam family "Archaeal small subunit ribosomal RNA", at positions 23 to 874 of the family's 1478-position model. The record is from RNAcentral.